UGGGGAAUAUUGGACAAUGGGCGAAAGCCUGAUCCAGCCAUGCCGCGUGAGUGAAGAAGGCCUUCGGGUUGUAAAGCUCUUUCGGCCGGGAAGAAAUCGUGUUCUCUAACACAGGACAUGGAUGACGGUACCGGACUAAGAAGCACCGGCUAACUACGUGCCAGCAGCCGCGGUAAUACGUAGGGUGCGAGCGUUAAUCGGAAUUACUGGGCGUAAAGCGUGCGCAGGCGGUUUUGUAAGACAGAUGUGAAAUCCCCGGGCUUAACCUGGGAACUGCGUAUGUGACUGCAAGGCUGGAGUACGGCAGAGGGGGGUGGAAUUCCACGUGUAGCAGUGAAAUGCGUAGAGAUGUGGAGGAACACCGAUGGCGAAGGCAGCCCCCUGGGCCUGUACUGACGCUCAUGCACGAAAGCGUGGGGAGCAAACA
This 427-nucleotide ribosomal RNA is filed under the name uncultured bacterium. Its description in RNAcentral is "bacterial SSU rRNA". It matches the Rfam family "Bacterial small subunit ribosomal RNA", at positions 355 to 774 of the family's 1533-position model. The record is from RNAcentral.